Armigeres subalbatus is the source of this 600-nucleotide long non-coding RNA. RefSeq lists it as uncharacterized. The transcript has 3 exons. Lineage: Eukaryota; Metazoa; Arthropoda; Insecta; Diptera; Culicidae. The record is from RefSeq and is a predicted model, not a curated record.
UUGCGCAGACAUAUAGUUUAUAAGUCAGGCGUUAUAACUGAAAUUUAUAUCGUUUCACACAUAGUCUUUAAGUAUUUUCGGUGCAGUGUGAGAUGACGCUCUGAGGUGAAAGCGGGUUCAUCUUUCGUUUUUUCAGCAGCUCCUAAGGCGAAAAUGCAAGCAUUGUUGGAAUCAACCUCCAGAUGAACUGUUUUUAUGAGCAAAAUGUACCAGAAAUGCCGACCGGUUGUGACCCGGUUCGGACGAGUUCUUUAAACGUUUACCACCAUUUUGGAUGUGACCAUCUGCAGAAGCUAUAGUUACAAAAUCCGAUUUUUCGCGCGGUAUUUGUAAAGCGCUUCAAAUGCUCUGACAAGAUAAAAAAAAUGACAUUUAAAGGAGAUGCAUCAAUCAGUCACAGAGAAAAAGGAUGGAAACGACGUCAACACUCAUCGGUAUUCCCACCGUCAUCUGCCCUACGAAGUGUGCAAAUGUUCCUUAGCCGGAACAACACAUACGGGAACGAAUUCGAUGGUGGUGAUCUAGUUGCAGUUGGGGACAUUGUUGCAUAUUUCAAACUCAAUUGAUUAACAAUAACAACAAGUAUGGUAAAUUUGAAUA